Molecule: ribosomal RNA, 253 nt
Filed under: uncultured bacterium
Lineage: Bacteria
Description: partial 16S ribosomal RNA
Rfam family: Bacterial small subunit ribosomal RNA
Source: RNAcentral
UACAGAGGUGGCAAGCGUUGUUCGGAAUUACUGGGCGUAAAGGGCGCGUAGGCGGCCAUCUAAGUCAGACGUGAAAUCCCCCGGCUUAACCUGGGAACUGCGUCUGAUACUGGACGGCUCGAGUAUGGGAGAGGGAUGCAGAAUUCCAGGUGUAGCGGUGAAAUGCGUAGAUAUCUGGAGGAAUACCGGUGGCGAAGGCGGCAUCCUGGACCGGCAUUGACGCUGAGGAGCGAAAGCCAGGGGAGCAAACGGG